RNAcentral lists this unclassified non-coding RNA (150 nucleotides) under soil metagenome. RNAcentral's name for it is "partial internal transcribed spacer 1". The record is from RNAcentral.
CCGAGUUUACAACUCCCAAACCCCUGUGAACAUACCUACUUGUUGCCUCGGCGGAUCAGCCCGCGCCCCGGUAAAACGGGACGGCCCGCCAGAGGACCCCUAAACUCUGUUUCUAGAUGGAACUUCUGAGUAAAACCAUACAAUAAAUCA